RNAcentral lists this unclassified non-coding RNA (234 nucleotides) under plant metagenome. RNAcentral's name for it is "partial contains small subunit ribosomal RNA, internal transcribed spacer 1, and 5.8S ribosomal RNA". The record is from RNAcentral.
UUUUCGUAGGUGAACCUGCGGAAGGAUCAUUAAAGUUAUAGUCCCCCGGCCCUCUGGGCUGGGGUCUUCUAUACCACCCUUUGUUUAUUACACCUUUGUUGCUCUGGCAGGCCUGCCCUCGGGCUGCUGGCUCCGGCCGGCUCGCGUCUGCCAGAGGACCUAAACUCUGUUUGUAUAUGAAGUCUGAGUACUAUAUAAUAGUUAAAACUUUCAACAACGGAUCUCUUGGUUCUG